UCCUAAAAGCAGCAAUAAACAGGAUAAUUACAUCUCUCUCUACAGCAUCCAUCACGCAACCAGCCCCUGGCAAUGCCAACAUCUAUUUCCCCAAGGGUAUUGAGUGGCUGUGAUAUUUCUGCUUGGAAAAUGGCUCUUUGGAGUUCAGUCACUACCAAGAUGCUUUCUUUGUUGUCAGCCAAGCAGAAAGAAAUCUUUACUCUUUAAAAUAUGCAGAAAACGCCUUAAAUCCUGAACUACUGGAAUAUUUAUCAACCUUGAAUUCACACAGCACUUGAGAGAAGUGCACAGCAUUUCAGGAUACCUCACCAAAAGCUGGCAUUCCUCAUAGACAGCAAUCUUUUGGCUCCUGAGUGCAGCUGAUCAAAGGAGCAGAAAAAACCAAGUCACACAUGACAAAGUUCCAUGACAAAGGGGGAUGCCCCGAGCCGUGGAGCCGGACUGACACCGCGAUCCUUCCCAGCGGCUCCGGGAUGAGGAACGAGAAUGGGAACGAGACCG
This is a non-coding RNA of Cyanistes caeruleus (blue tit), 501 nucleotides long. Lineage: Eukaryota; Metazoa; Chordata; Aves; Passeriformes; Paridae. The record is from RefSeq and is a predicted model, not a curated record.